UCCACGAUACCAUUUCUUUAAGCUGAAUAAUACUAAAUAAUAAUACAUUCGAACUUAAUUUUCAUACAUCAAAGUUUACUUCCCCAGGUACGUGACCUUCAAAUACAUUCCUUACAAUACUUGAAUAGAUACCAAUACAACUAUAACCAUUAACUCAUAAUACACACUUAUUCGAUCAGCUUUCCUUUUUCUUUGUUCGUGCCUGAGCCUUCAGGUUGCUCAUACAUAACUGAAAACAUUUAAUUUAAGCAAGGAUGAGCAUUUGAGUGCCCAGCAAGUAAUAGCAAUUAUAUAUAUAAGCUGAAAGAAUAUAAGUAUUCUCUUUACAUAACACUUCUACAACGAAUCAAAAGUUGUGAAGUAAUCUGUACUGAUAAAAGAUUCACAUAACAACUCUCUUUCAAUUUCUUGAAAUUAGGCUCCACCCAUGAAUAGGGUUUAAGAAACAUACUAUGAACAUUGUUUUUCAUUUUCGAAAAGGUUUAGCAGAAAUUCAUCCGCAAACCGUCAUAACUUACGGGCACGGAGGGUGAUCAGCCCCGUUGUACCCUGUAUUGAUCAAUACUACAUAACUUGAACGAAAUUCAUCGCUCACUCUAUCCGCCUUGGGCGCAAAAAUCUUCCCAUAUAGGGAUGUUCAUACAUGCCUGGUUCCAAACCCGAAGGUUUUUAAUCUUGCUCAACAAUAAUAUGUAAUUCAACAUAUAUGUAUACGGGUAAUUGACAAAGGUAUAUCAACAUGUGAAUAAAUGCCAUGAUUAUCCAAGUGGGGACACUUGUAUAACCAUUUAGAAAUCAACUUAACAGAAUAUAUAUCUGAGCUAACAUGUUGAUAAUCAAAGCGUACAUAAUCUGUACAGGAAUAGAAUAAUUCUGAAACUUCUUACUCAUGUCCAUUGCAUAAAGGAAAUGCAAAGGUAAGAUACUUGCCUGAUUCGCUGAUUACAAAUCUCAACUUAGGUUUUAUCUCUUUA
Molecule: long non-coding RNA, 974 nt
Filed under: Panax ginseng (ginseng)
Lineage: Eukaryota; Viridiplantae; Streptophyta; Magnoliopsida; Apiales; Araliaceae
Description: long non-coding RNA (PGIN_LNC012862)
Source: RNAcentral